GGUCACUGCUAUCGGUGUUCGUCUAAGCCAUGCGAGUCAUAUGUUCUUCGGAACAUGGCGUACUGCUCAGUAACACGUGGAUAACCUGCCCUUGGGUCUGGCAUAACCCCGGGAAACUGGGGAUAAUACCGGAUAACGCAUAUCUGCUGGAAUUCUUUAUGCGUGAAAUGGAUUCGUCUGCCCAAGGAUGGGUCUGCGGCCUAUCAGGUAGUAGUGGGUGUAAUGUACCUACUAGCCGACGACGGGUACGGGUUGUGAGAGCAAGAGCCCGGAUAUGGAUUCUGAGACAUGAAUCCAGGCCCUACGGGGCGCAGCAGGCGCGAAAACUUUACAAUGCGGGAAACCGUGACAAGGGGACACCGAGUGCCAGCAUUAUAUGUUGGCUGUCCGGGUGUGUAAAAUACACCUGUUAGCAAGGGCCGGGCAAGACCGGUGCCAGCCGCCGCGGUAACACCGGCGGCCCGAGUGGUGAUCGUGUUUAUUGGGUCUAAAGGGUCCGUAGCCGGUUUGGUCAGUCCUCCGGGAAAUCUGACGGCUUAACCGUUAGGCUUUCGGGGGAUACUGCCAGACUUGGAACCGGGAGAGGUAAGAGGUACUACAGGGGUAGGAGUGAAAUCUUGUAAUCCCUGUGGGACCACCUGUGGCGAAGGCGUCUUACCAGAACGGGUUCGACGGUGAGGGACGAAAGCUGGGGGCACGAACCGGAUUAGAUACCCGGGUAGUCCCAGCCGUAAACGAUGCUCGCUAGGUGUCAGGCAUGGCGCGACCGUGUCUGGUGCCGCAGGGAAGCCGUGAAGCGAGCCACCUGGGAAGUACGGCCGCAAGGCUGAAACUUAA
This 837-nucleotide ribosomal RNA is filed under the name uncultured archaeon. Its description in RNAcentral is "bacterial SSU rRNA". It matches the Rfam family "Archaeal small subunit ribosomal RNA", at positions 21 to 859 of the family's 1478-position model. The record is from RNAcentral.